CCUACGGGAGGCAGCAGUGGGGGAUAUUGGACAAUGGGGGGAACUCUGAUGCAGCGACGCAGCGUGAGCGAAGAAGUCCCUCGGUAUGUAAAGCUGUAUCAGCAGGGAAGAAAAUGACGGUACCUGACUACGAAGCCCCGGCUAACUACGUGCAAGCAGCCGCGGUAAUACGUGGGGGUCAAGCGUUAUCCGGAUUUACUGGGUGUAAAGGGAGCGCAGGCGGGCUGCCAAGUCUGGGGUGAAAACCCGGGGCCCAACCCCGGGACUGCAUUGGAAACUGGCGGGCUGGAGUGUCGGAGGGGCAGGCGGAAUUCCUAGUGUAGCGGUGAAAUGCGUAGAUAUUAGGAGGAACACCGGUGGCGAAGGCGGCCUGCUGGACGAUGACUGACGCUGAGGCUCGAAAGCGUGGGGAGCAAACAGGAUUAGAUACCCCGGUAGUC
RNAcentral lists this ribosomal RNA (440 nucleotides) under uncultured bacterium. RNAcentral describes it as "partial 16S ribosomal RNA". It matches the Rfam family "Bacterial small subunit ribosomal RNA", at positions 338 to 795 of the family's 1533-position model. The record is from RNAcentral.